This 281-nucleotide ribosomal RNA is filed under the name uncultured prokaryote. RNAcentral describes it as "partial 16S ribosomal RNA". It matches the Rfam family "Bacterial small subunit ribosomal RNA", at positions 524 to 803 of the family's 1533-position model. The record is from RNAcentral.
UACGUAGGGGGCUAGCGUUAUCCGGAAUUACUGGGCGUAAAGGGUGCGUAGGUGGUUUCUUAAGUCAGAGGUGAAAGGCUACGGCUCAACCGUAGUAAGCCUUUGAAACUGGGAAACUUGAGUGCAGGAGAGGAGAGUGGAAUUCCUAGUGUAGCGGUGAAAUGCGUAGAUAUUAGGAGGAACACCAGUGGCGAAGGCGACUUUCUGGACUGUAACUGACACUGAGGCACGAAAGCGUGGGGAGCAAACAGGAUUAGAUACCCUGGUAGUCCCUGAGCGGG